Molecule: non-coding RNA, 411 nt
Organism: Urocitellus parryii (Arctic ground squirrel)
Lineage: Eukaryota; Metazoa; Chordata; Mammalia; Rodentia; Sciuridae
Source: RefSeq, a predicted model, not a curated record
AAACAAAAUCCACUCCUCGUGCUCACGGACCACUCUUCCAUCUGUGGUCUCUGAAGCCUCAGGACAUUGGCUGCUUCUCAGGUCAUUCCGGACUCUGCCGCCGCCAGUCCCUUGGUGAGACGUGAGCGCCAUUGGCGUCCGUGGCCUCUGUUUCCGUGGCAACCCAGUAACCAUUAAUUUUCAAUUAAAGGAGACAAAAAGCUCGAUGACAGCUCCAGGUCUGCUGAAGAUGUCAAGAAUCUGUAUUAAUAUACAGCAAGAGAGCAUAAUUGUGUGUCCAUCUUCCAGAGCAGCGAAAAAUGGAGGGAUAAUUACCGGCUCGAAAGCCACUCUGUAAUUUAGUUCUUACUGUCACCACAGCCCUACACAUUAGCAUAAAUUAAAAGCAGAGUUUAUUGUUAUCAAAGUGCA